UCAGGGCUUUGGUUGUUAUAGUGGUUUUAUUGACCAAAAGAGAAACCGUAAUAAACGGUCUGGAGAUGGACAUAUGAGGGGACAAAGUCAUAACACCCGAGGCCGACCCCUCGCUAGGCCUUAGGUGCUGCAGUUUCCCUGUACUUUAGGGCAGGCUUUACAGUGGUGCCCCCUCUUCCCACAAUAAAGGCAUAACCCCUCCCUUCUACGGUAUGCUCUUUUGGUCUCAGUUAACC
Molecule: non-coding RNA, 236 nt
Organism: Pelobates cultripes (western spadefoot toad)
Lineage: Eukaryota; Metazoa; Chordata; Amphibia; Anura; Pelobatidae
Source: the annotation of a GenBank genome assembly